GACGAACGCUGGCGGCGUGCCUAAUACAUGCAAGUAGAACGCUGAAGGAAGGAGCUUGCUCUUUCCGGAUGAGUUGCGAACGGGUGAGUAACGCGUAGGUAACCUGCCUGGUAGCGGGGGAUAACUAUUGGAAACGAUAGCUAAUACCGCAUAACAGUAGAUGUUGCAUGAUAUCUACUUAAAAGGUGCAAUUGCACCACUACCAGAUGGACCUGCGUUGUAUUAGCUAGUUGGUGAGGUAACGGCUCACCAAGGCGACGAUACUUAGCCGACCUGAGAGGGUGGUCGGCCACACUGGGACUGAGACACGGCCCAGACUCCUACGGGAGGCAGCAGUAGGGAAUCUUCGGCAAUGGACGGAAGUCUGACCGAGCAACGCCGCGUGAGUGAAGAAGGUUUUCGGAUCGUAAAGCUCUGUUGUAAGGGAAGAACGAGUGUGAGAGUGGAAAGUUCACACUGUGACGGUAUCUUACCAGAAAGGGACGGCUAACUACGUG
RNAcentral lists this ribosomal RNA (497 nucleotides) under uncultured bacterium. RNAcentral's name for it is "partial 16S ribosomal RNA". It matches the Rfam family "Bacterial small subunit ribosomal RNA", at positions 28 to 507 of the family's 1533-position model. The record is from RNAcentral.